UUGUGUGUAGCCCAGUGGUAAGAGUGCAUGCUCUGUGUGUAUGAUAUUCUGGGUUCAAUCCCCAGUUUCUCCCCCAAA
This is a non-coding RNA of Dallia pectoralis (Alaska blackfish), 78 nucleotides long. NCBI's taxonomy places the organism in Eukaryota, Metazoa, Chordata, Actinopteri, Esociformes, Umbridae. The record is from the annotation of a GenBank genome assembly.